This 253-nucleotide ribosomal RNA is filed under the name uncultured bacterium. RNAcentral's name for it is "partial 16S ribosomal RNA". It matches the Rfam family "Bacterial small subunit ribosomal RNA", at positions 524 to 776 of the family's 1533-position model. The record is from RNAcentral.
UACGUAGGUGGCAAGCGUUGUCCGGAUUUACUGGGCGUAAAGGGCGUGCAGGCGGUCUGUUAAGUUCAGGGUGAAAGCUCCCGGCUCAACUGGGAGAGGUCCUUGGAUACUGGCAGACUUGAGGGAGGUAGGGGAGAGUGGAAUUCCCGGUGUAGUGGUGAUAUGCGUAGAUAUCGGGAGGAACACCAGUGGCGAAGGCGGCUCUCUGGGCCUUUCCUGACGCUGAGACGCGAAAGCGUGGGGAGCGAACCGG